RNAcentral lists this ribosomal RNA (244 nucleotides) under uncultured bacterium. RNAcentral's name for it is "partial 16S ribosomal RNA". It matches the Rfam family "Bacterial small subunit ribosomal RNA", at positions 791 to 1035 of the family's 1533-position model. The record is from RNAcentral.
UAGUCCACGCUGUAAACGAUGAAUGCUAGCCGUUGGGGUGCAUGCACCUCAGUGGCGCCGCUAACGCAUUAAGCAUUCCGCCUGGGGAGUACGGUCGCAAGAUUAAAACUCAAAGGAAUUGACGGGGGCCCGCACAAGCGGUGGAGCAUGUGGUUUAAUUCGACGCAACGCGCAGAACCUUACCAUCCCUUGACAUGGCAUGUUACAUGGAGAGAUCCAUGGUCCUCUUCGGAGGCGUGCACAC